UUGAUCAUGGCUCAGAUUGAACGCUGGCGGCAGGCCUAACACAUGCAAGUCGAGCGGAUGAAGGGAGCUUGCUCCUGGAUUCAGCGGCGGACGGGUGAGUAAUGCCUAGGAAUCUGCCUGGUAGUGGGGGAUAACGUCCGGAAACGGGCGCUAAUACCGCAUACGUCCUGAGGGAGAAAGUGGGGGAUCUUCGGACCUCACGCUAUCAGAUGAGCCUAGGUCGGAUUAGCUAGUUGGUGGGGUAAAGGCCUACCAAGGCGACGAUCCGUAACUGGUCUGAGAGGAUGAUCAGUCACACUGGAACUGAGACACGGUCCAGACUCCUACGGGAGGCAGCAGUGGGGAAUAUUGGACAAUGGGCGAAAGCCUGAUCCAGCCAUGCCGCGUGUGUGAAGAAGGUCUUCGGAUUGUAAAGCACUUUAAGUUGGGAGGAAGGGCAGUAAGUUAAUACCUUGCUGUUUUGACGUUACCAACAGAAUAAGCACCGGCUAACUUCGUGCCAGCAGCCGCGGUAAUACGAAGGGUGCAAGCGUUAAUCGGAAUUACUGGGCGUAAAGCGCGCGUAGGUGGUUCAGCAAGUUGGAUGUGAAAUCCCCGGGCUCAACCUGGGAACUGCAUCCAAAACUACUGAGCUAGAGUACGGUAGAGGGUGGUGGAAUUUCCUGUGUAGCGGUGAAAUGCGUAGAUAUAGGAAGGAACACCAGUGGCGAAGGCGACCACCUGGACUGAUACUGACACUGAGGUGCGAAAGCGUGGGGAGCAAACAGGAUUAGAUACCCUGGUAGUCCACGCCGUAAACGAUGUCGACUAGCCGUUGGGAUCCUUGAGAUCUUAGUGGCGCAGCUAACGCGAUAAGUCGACCGCCUGGGGAGUACGGCCGCAAGGUUAAAACUCAAAUGAAUUGACGGGGGCCCGCACAAGCAGUGGAGCAUGUGGUUUAAUUCGAAGCAACGCGAAGAACCUUACCUGGCCUUGACAUGCUGAGAACUUUCCAGAGAUGGAUUGGUGCCUUCGGGAACUCAGACACAGGUGCUGCAUGGCUGUCGUCAGCUCGUGUCGUGAGAUGUUGGGUUAAGUCCCGUAACGAGCGCAACCCUUGUCCUUAGUUACCAGCACCUCGGGUGGGCACUCUAAGGAGACUGCCGGUGACAAACCGGAGGAAGGUGGGGAUGACGUCAAGUCACCAUGGCCCUUACGGCCAGGGCUACACACGUGCUACAAUGGUCGGUACAAAGGGUUGCCAAGCCGCGAGGUGGAGCUAAUCCCAUAAAACCGAUCGUAGUCCGGAUCGCAGUCUGCAACUCGACUGCGUGAAGUCGGAAUCGCUAGUAAUCGUGAAUCAGAAUGUCACGGUGAAUACGUUCCCGGGCCUUGUACACACCGCCCGUCACACCAUGGGAGUGGGUUGCUCCAGAAGUAGCUAGUCUAACCGCAAGGGGGACGGUUACCACGGAGUGAUUCAUGACUGGGGUGAAGUCGUAACAAGGUAGCCG
RNAcentral lists this ribosomal RNA (1493 nucleotides) under uncultured bacterium. RNAcentral describes it as "16S ribosomal RNA". It matches the Rfam family "Bacterial small subunit ribosomal RNA". The record is from RNAcentral.